GAUGAACGCUAGCGGCAGGCUUAAUACAUGCAAGUCGUGGGGCAGCAUGAGUAGCAAUACUUGAUGGCGACCGGCAAACGGGUGCGGAACACGUACACAACCUUCCGAUAAGUGGGGAAUAGCCCAGAGAAAUUUGGAUUAAUACCCCGUAACAUAUAGAGUAGGCAUCUUCUUUAUAUUAUAGCUUCGGCGCUUAUUGAUGGGUGUGCGUCUGAUUAGGUAGUUGGCGGGGUAACGGCCCACCAAGCCUACGAUCAGUAGCUGAUGUGAGAGCAUGAUCAGCCACACGGGCACUGAGACACGGGCCCGACUCCUACGGGAGGCAGCAGUAAGGAAUAUUGGACAAUGGGCGAAAGCCUGAUCCAGCCAUGCCGCGUGAAGGAUUAAGGUCCUCUGGAUUGUAAACUUCUUUUAUUUGGGACGAAAAAAGGGAAUUCUUUCCCACUUGACGGUACCAAGUGAAUAGGCACCGGCUAACUCCGUGCCAGCCGCCGCAGUAA
RNAcentral lists this ribosomal RNA (500 nucleotides) under uncultured bacterium. RNAcentral's name for it is "partial 16S ribosomal RNA". It matches the Rfam family "Bacterial small subunit ribosomal RNA", at positions 28 to 523 of the family's 1533-position model. The record is from RNAcentral.